Molecule: non-coding RNA, 994 nt
Organism: Danio rerio (zebrafish)
Lineage: Eukaryota; Metazoa; Chordata; Actinopteri; Cypriniformes; Danionidae
Source: RefSeq, a predicted model, not a curated record
CAUCCUGAGACUCAAGAAGACAAGAGAGAGACAGCAGAGAGAUUCCUUUCCAUGUUUCUAACAAAAGAGGCAUUGUAGCCGCACAUAAAGAGAGGAGGAAUCUCUCAUCAGUGUGUGUUUCUGUGUUUGUUUUUAUUACAUGGUGGGGACCUCAGCAUGAUAGCACACUCACAAAGUGGGGACCAAAAACAUAGUGGGGACCGAUCGCCCGGUCCCCACCAUGUUUUGCCUUUAAAAGACUCAGGGGGCGUUGCUGAUAUGCCUAGUGCAGUUUUUUUCACUGAUCCCCACCUUGACCAUUUACCUGAAUUGAGUGUGUAAGUGUGUGUCGGCGCACUGCUCUAUAGCGGUCCUGUAGUCGGAUGGCGGUACUGCACCCUGACACACACUUACACACUCUGGCUACUGCACAUGCGCAGAUCUCAUAAAUGAAUCCGACUUUAAUCAACUUAAUUAAGAUCUAUCAUCAAAUUAAUCGAAUUUUCGGUCAGAGGCCGGGGUGGAGUGCAUGAGCCGCGGUCAGACAGUCACCAAUCACCGUGCGGCUAAAUGGAUCGACGGAGGAUAAAACCAUUAAAAGAUGCGGAGAAACACAUCACCAGCUCCACCGACAAGACCCAUUCACUGGAAACCGAAUAUAUAGAAGGUUACUAAGUUUUGCAGCAUUGAUGCCGAUCAUGAGGACGAUCUGCACCCUAACUGCACUGUCAAUAAGAUCGUUGUUCAGAGAAAACCUCAUUUGUGCCUUUUUGCAAUCAGGGAUAUUUUCUUUGGAGAGGAAAUAACGUUUGACUAUGGCGCAUGUGAUUGGCCUUGGAGAAAGCUUUCAUUGAAGGAUGCCCAUAUGACUGCAGAAGAGAACUGCUUCGACAACUCUCUGAUGAGCUUUUAUUGAAGUAUGACCAAAUGACGAGAAGAAGAGAACUGCUCUGCUCCAGUAGGAAACCCACAACCCUCUGAUGAGCUUUUAUUGAAGGAUGACCUUAUGACAGAG